RNAcentral lists this ribosomal RNA (253 nucleotides) under uncultured bacterium. RNAcentral's name for it is "partial 16S ribosomal RNA". It matches the Rfam family "Bacterial small subunit ribosomal RNA", at positions 524 to 776 of the family's 1533-position model. The record is from RNAcentral.
UACGGAGGGUGCGAGCGUUGUCCGGAAUCACUGGGCGUAAAGGGCGCGUAGGCGGCUCGGUAAGUAGGAGGUGAAAUCCUGAGGCUUAACCUCAGGGCUGCCUUCUAAACUGCCAGGCUCGAGCACAGUAGAGGCAGGUGGAAUUCCCGGUGUAGCGGUGGAAUGCGUAGAGAUCGGGAAGAACAUCGGUGGCGAAGGCGGCCUGCUGGGCUGUUGCUGACGCUGAGGCGCGAAAGCGUGGGGAGCAAACAGG